Molecule: ribosomal RNA, 491 nt
Filed under: uncultured bacterium
Lineage: Bacteria
Description: partial 16S ribosomal RNA
Rfam family: Bacterial small subunit ribosomal RNA
Source: RNAcentral
AGUGAACGCUGGCGGUAGGCCUAACACAUGCAAGUCGAACGGCAGCACAGUAAGAGCUUGCUCUUACGGGUGGCGAGUGGCGGACGGGUGAGGAAUACAUCGGAAUCUACUUUUUCGUGGGGGAUAACGUAGGGAAACUUACGCUAAUACCCAUACGACCUACGGGUGAAAGCAGGGGAUCUUCGGACCUUGCGCGAUUGAAUGAGCCGAUGUCGGAUUAGCUAGUUGGCGGGGUAAAGGCCCACCAAGGCGACGAUCCGUAGCUGGUCUGAGAGGAUGAUCAGCCACACUGGAACUGAGACACGGUCCAGACUCCUACGGGAGGCAGCAGUGGGGAAUAUUGGACAAAGGGCGCAAGCCUGAUCCAGCCAUACCGCGUGGGUGAAGAAGGCCUUCGGGUUGUAAAGCCCUUUUGUUGGGAAAGAAAAGCAGCAGGUUAAUACCCCGCUGUUCUGACGGUACCCAAAGAAUAAGCACCGGCUAACUUCGUG